AAAUAGAACUUUGCAGAGAGAGUUAACAGGGCGUGAAACCGUUAAUUGAGAAACGAAUCGGAGCCACGAAGUCGUUUCGCUGUUUAGUUGGAUCGGGUUCAGUUUGUGAGCUAAAACUCAUAGGCGUAUUCUCGUGUCUGACCAAACCUUGUAAGCGUACACUGCAACCAGUUAGACGAUUGGCCAUGGGCCCAGUUAGAUUAGUAGUAGCGCUGUGCAUUUCGGUGCAUUUGUGUUGCUGGAUCUAUGGCAAGUGAACUAUGGCCAAAUACUGACUGGCAAAAUGAAAAUCGCGUUUUACGCGUUCUAAAAAAUGCAGCUAAUUGUAUUGGUGUCUACACCUUAGACUAGUGGGUCUAAGCUCAGCACUUUUGAAUUUAGACUUGCUUGCUACCAAUGGGGCAACUCUUGGUGCUUGUAUAGCUUCUAUCUAAUCGGGUGUUGACUUGGCACGCUAUGUUCUAAUGUGCUACGAUCGGAUGCUAAUAUAAGUUGGUUCGCAAUUGAUUGGCAGUGAGUAGGUCGGCUUUCCGAACGACCCGUCUUGAAACACGGACCAAGGAGUCUAAUUAGGUAUCGAGUCGAUCGGUCUUGAAUAGGCCAGACUAGUGCGAGCGUGCUGAGAAGGCGUAGAGAUCGUGUGAUCAUGGGAGCAACAACAGCUCUUAUGCGCAACAUGUGCCUGUUCGUAUAGCAAUGUAGCAAUAAUUGCUGAGCGGAGCAAAGAGAUACCUGAUUGGGACCCGAAAGAUGGUGAUGCUUGGGCAAAUUGAAGCCAGAGGAAACUCUGGUGGAGGAUUUAGCUGACGUGCAAAUCGAUCGUCAGACCUGAGUAUAGGGGCGAAAGACUAAUCGAACCAUC
RNAcentral lists this ribosomal RNA (862 nucleotides) under Tegonotus celtis. RNAcentral's name for it is "partial large subunit ribosomal RNA". It matches the Rfam family "Eukaryotic large subunit ribosomal RNA", at positions 366 to 944 of the family's 3401-position model. The record is from RNAcentral. Lineage: Eukaryota; Metazoa; Arthropoda; Arachnida; Trombidiformes; Eriophyidae. RNAcentral also lists the same sequence under 1 other name.